Eurytemora carolleeae is the source of this 255-nucleotide long non-coding RNA. RefSeq lists it as uncharacterized. The transcript has 3 exons. The record is from RefSeq and is a predicted model, not a curated record. Lineage: Eukaryota; Metazoa; Arthropoda; Copepoda; Calanoida; Temoridae.
UUUUAAAUAUUUUUUAUUCCAGAUGUGACGGGACAGGGGUUAUAUCAGAGAUCAAGUUUAGGAAUAUAUUCAGUUUUACAGAGUCUGUUCCAUUAAUUGUAUGUGAUGACCCUAACAGCGACGAGUUGGAUACUGUGUGCUGUCGGGAUCCAAACUAUCAGAGUUCGAGACCAGAUUAUGAUUAUGAUUACAAUGAUGAUGUUGAUGCUAUUUUGGAGGAAGAAAAAUUUAAUCAAAUACGAACAAAUGAAAACA